AGCGUCAUGAUAAACAUCAAGCUCCGCUUGGUCUUGGGUGUCCGUCCCUUGGGACGCACCUGGAAAUCAGCGGCGGUGCGGCCGAGACACCAGCGUAGUACCAAACUCCCGCUCGGUGGCCUCGGGUGCGUCAGCCGGACGACUCCCACAUCAUAUCCACGUUUGACCUCGGAUCAGGUAGGGAUACCCGCUGAACUUAA
This 200-nucleotide unclassified non-coding RNA is filed under the name soil metagenome. RNAcentral describes it as "partial contains internal transcribed spacer 2 and large subunit ribosomal RNA". The record is from RNAcentral.